UACCAAAUUUCUCACAUGCAUACAUGCACACACCCACAUACAAAAAAAAUGCCGAGCCAACAUGCCAAUGAUUCCACAGCUCAAGGUAUUGAAGCUGCUCUUUUGUGCAAUAUGAAAAAUAUUGAUUCCAGUGAAAGCAUGAUUCAUUGAUUAGGCUGCAAAAUGAGCAUGUACAAUGUAUUGUCACCUUCAGCAGUUGUCUCCCCUUUAUGUGGUUGUUUCCAUUCAAUCAGCCGUUGUCUCCCCUCUUCAUGUAGUUGUCUCCUGUCUUCAUUCAAUAUGCAUUGUCUUCAUUCUACAAUUAUCUCCCCUUGUUAUGUACAUGUCACCCCUUGUCUUGUA
Haliotis rubra (blacklip abalone) is the source of this 342-nucleotide long non-coding RNA. RefSeq lists it as uncharacterized. Lineage: Eukaryota; Metazoa; Mollusca; Gastropoda; Lepetellida; Haliotidae. The record is from RefSeq and is a predicted model, not a curated record. The transcript has 3 exons.